Rhopalosiphum padi (bird cherry-oat aphid) is the source of this 2373-nucleotide long non-coding RNA. RefSeq lists it as uncharacterized. The transcript is spliced from 4 exons. The record is from RefSeq and is a predicted model, not a curated record. Lineage: Eukaryota; Metazoa; Arthropoda; Insecta; Hemiptera; Aphididae.
AUACGGCGAUAUAGGUACUCGUAUCAUUCAAUUCAAAUUUAACACAUCCAUCACAGUGAACCACCAGAGACCAGACUCCAACUAUACAGCAGAAUGUCUAAAUAUUGGAUAUUUAAAAAAAAGUAUAGAUAUCCUCAUUGGCAUAGUACGAAAUCUCACGUAGUCAACGAUAAAAAUUUAAUAACACGCAGAACCACAAUACAUGCUGCAUAGAUUUUUAUUAUUAUCACGGUGGACAUCACACGUGUUCAAAGAACAGUCAACAAUAACACUAUUAUUAUUAUACCACAGUAGAAUACUCAGAUACUCUAUGUCUGUAUAAUAUAAUAUUGUGCGCACCAAUGAAAUCUGCACUCGAAAACAUAAAAGCAAUCGGACACAAGUGCGGAUUCGUUUGAAAUCGUCGUCGAUCCGUUAAACAGACCCGGUACCAUUUCAACCAGAAAACGGGACGAUUUUUUACACCCUCAAUAAGAAAAUUAUCGCGAAAUCUUCAGGAAGUUGCCCAUUUCAGUUUUAGAUGGACAAAAUCAUUAUUAAUGCCUGGACUCAUAUUUAAAACGUAUAUUUUUAAAUAUUUCGCUUGUAAAAAUAAUUCUACUGAAAAAUUGCUACGUUUAAUAAUAAUUAUAAUGCUAAUAUACAUAUACAUGUACCUAUAUACAUUAUACAGUGCCCUGUAAGGAUUUACCCAUUACGAUAUCUUUUGAAAUAAUAUAGAUAUCAUAAUUCUGUUUUUUAUAAGACUCACAGGGACAAGAACUACAAGUAUUUCAUAUUUUAAUUUCAUUUCAUUUUUUGGUAAAAAGUUUAAAAAACAUUUUUUUAUUUAAUUAUUUUCAAAAAAAUAGAAUUUAUUUUUCUGAAAAAUUUGACUUCAACAUUUUAUUUUCAUUCGGAUCGUGAUUUUUAAAAUUUUUUUUAGUUUUAAGAAUACUUUUGUAUACUCCGCGGGCAUGAUCCCGCGGGCCACAUGUUUUUGAUAACACUGGCACUUAUAUACACGGUAUUAAAUAUAGUUUACAAUUUUUCUGAAAACUAGAAAAAAAAUAUUAAAAUCAUGAGAUUAAUGAAAAUAAAAUAUUAAUACGUUUUAGAAAAAUAAACUCUACAAAAUGGCUAUCUUCGAUUUUUUUUUUAAAUAAUUAAAUAAUAAAUUAUUUUUUUAAACUUUUACCGAAACAUUAAAUUCAAUUCAAAUAUGAAAUACUUGUAAUACUUGUCCCUGUGAGUUUUAGAAAAUAGAAUUAUGAUAUCCUCAUUAUUUCAGGAGAUAUCGCAAUGGGUAAAUCCUCUCGGGACAUUGUUUAUAAUAAUAUAUUAUACUUCCAUAUAUUUUGAACAUUUCUAAGAAAAUAUAAAUCCAGUAGUCAGUAUAGUUAUAAGCUGAAUUUAAAUUAAGUUGAAAUUUAUACUAGGUAGUAGGUACAUUUAUAUUUUACAACAAUAACACAAUAGUAGGCAUUAUUAUUUUCUUAUAGGACUAUUUUUUUUAAUUUGCCGUUAUAUAACCAUGAUACUCUAAUAAUGUAUUAAAAUAAUAAAUGGAUAAACGAGUGAAUGGUAUUGAGUAAUAACUGUAUCGCGACAAAUAGUCGCUAUUUAAUAUAUUUAUAUACUAUUUUAUUAUUUUAAUAGAUUCGUGGUAUUAUAUGAUAUAUCCAAAAAUAAUCACUGUUAACCAUUUAUUUUUCCAACUCUUCUGAUUUCAUAUAUGUGCAUUUUAUUUAGUGUUAUUAUGUAACGUAUUUCGAUCACUUUUCUUUCACUGUAUAUGGUUCGUGAAUCCUAAUUGACAAUUGCUGACGUUUUAUUUUUUUCUCUCUCACUAGUUCUUUAUCACUCGCCUGAAGCGGAACACAUUUUAACAGCCAACAUAGAUUUUUAUUGUUUUAUAAUUUUUUUGUAAAUCUCAGAAGCAAAAAUGUAUACCAUGUAGACUCGCCCGAUCCUUUUUCCUGUGAUGGUGUCCGCUUGUUAGUAAUGUUGAGAUGGCCGAUAUUAAAUAAAUAUAAAAAUACCGGCAUUAAACAAAAUACAAUCGUCAUAAAUAAUGAGGUAUUCAUUUUUAUUUUGCUAUAUUAAUAAAGGCCGAUAUUUUAUUUUUAUUUCCUGAAAUCCAUCAUGUUAUUAUUAUAUUAUUAUGUACUUAAUAAUACUCAUAUCAGUCAUAUCACAACGAGACGUGUCUAUCAGGGAUAACAAGUGCGUAUGACACGGCUACGUGUUUCAGCUUUAUUAUUAUUAUUAUCGUAUAUGAACAUCUCAUUGUGUCAUUCCGACAUCGUAUUAAUAUUAACAUUAUUAUUAUUGUUAUCAUAUUACCAUUAUAUUGUAGCUGAUAAAUGAUUGAGUAAUAAAAACAUAAUAUUA